GUGAGGAAUAUUGGUCAAUGGGCGCGAGCCUGAACCAGCCAAGUCGCGUGAGGGAAGACGGUCCUACGGAUUGUAAACCUCUUUUGUCGGGGAGCAAUAAGGCGUACGUGUACGCAGAUGCGAGUACCCGAAGAAAAAGCAUCGGCUAACUCCGUGCCAGCAGCCGCGGUAAUACGGAGGAUGCGAGCGUUAUCCGGAUUUAUUGGGUUUAAAGGGUGCGCAGGCGGAAAGUGCAAGUCAGCGGUCAAACGACGGGGCUCAACCCCGUCUCGCCGUUGAAACUGUCUUUCUAGAGUGAGCGAGAAGUAUGCGGAAUGCGUGGUGUAGCGGUGAAAUGCAUAGAUAUCACGCAGAACUCCGAUUGCGAAGGCAGCAUACCGGCGCUCAACUGACGCUCAUGCACGAAAGCGUGGGUAUCGAACAGGAUUAGAUACCCCGGUAGUCC
Molecule: ribosomal RNA, 445 nt
Filed under: uncultured Bacteroidales bacterium
Lineage: Bacteria; Pseudomonadati; Bacteroidota; Bacteroidia; Bacteroidales
Description: bacterial SSU rRNA
Rfam family: Bacterial small subunit ribosomal RNA
Source: RNAcentral